This 291-nucleotide ribosomal RNA is filed under the name uncultured bacterium. RNAcentral describes it as "partial 16S ribosomal RNA". It matches the Rfam family "Bacterial small subunit ribosomal RNA", at positions 333 to 641 of the family's 1533-position model. The record is from RNAcentral.
CCGCGCCUACGGGGGGCAGCAGUGGGGAAUAUUGCACAAUGGGGGAAACCCUGAUGCAGCGACGCCGCGUGAGUGAAGAAGUAUUUCGGUAUGUAAAGCUCUCUCAGCAGGGAAGAAGUUGACGGUACCUGAGUAAGAAGCCCCGGCUAACUACGUGCCAGCAGCCGCGGUAAUACGUAGGGGGCAAGCGUUAUCCGGAUUUACUGGGUGUAAAGGGAGCGUAGACGGCAGUGCAAGUCUGAAGUGAAAGCCCCGGGCUUACCCCGGGAACUGCUUUGGAAACUGUACGGC